Molecule: ribosomal RNA, 449 nt
Filed under: uncultured bacterium
Lineage: Bacteria
Description: bacterial SSU rRNA
Rfam family: Bacterial small subunit ribosomal RNA
Source: RNAcentral
GCCAGACUCCUACGGGAGGCAGCAGUGGGGAAUAUUGCACAAUGGGGGAAACCCUGAUGCAGCGACGCCGCGUGAGCGAAGAAGUAUUUCGGUAUGUAAAGCUCUCUCAGCAGGGAAGAAAAAAAUGACGGUACCUGAGUAAGAAGCACCGGCUAAAUACGUGCCAGCAGCCGCGGUAAUACGUAUGGUGCAAGCGUUAUCCGGAUUUACUGGGUGUAAAGGGAGCGUAGGCGGCGCGUUAAGUCUGAUGUGAAAACCCGAGGCUCAACCACGGGAGUGCAUUGGAAACUGGCGGGCUGGAGUGCCGGAGAGGUAAGCGGAAUUCCUAGUGUAGCGGUGAAAUGCGUAGAUAUUAGGAGGAACACCAGUGGCGAAGGCGGCUUACUGGACCGAAACUGACGUUGAAGCUCGAAAGCGUGGGGAGCAAACAGGAUUAGAUACCCCAGUAA